UACGUAGGACCCAAGCGUUGUCCGGAUUUACUGGGUAUAAAGGGUGCGUAGGCGGGCUUGUGCGUCAGAGGUUAAAUCCCACGGCUUAACCGUGGAACUGCCUUUGAUACGGCAAGUCUUGAGUGUGAGAGAGGAAGGUAGAAUUCUUGGUGUAGCGGUGAAAUGCGUAGAUAUCAAGAGGAAUACCAGUGGCGAAGGCGGCCUUCUGGCUCAUCACUGACGCUGAGGCACGAAAGCGUGGGGAGCAAACAGG
RNAcentral lists this ribosomal RNA (253 nucleotides) under uncultured bacterium. RNAcentral's name for it is "partial 16S ribosomal RNA". It matches the Rfam family "Bacterial small subunit ribosomal RNA", at positions 524 to 776 of the family's 1533-position model. The record is from RNAcentral.